GGGGAAUCCAAUCGAUAUCGGCGAUUUUGGGUCGUUCCAAUUCGGUCCGUCGGCCCACGUGUGCGGAUUGUCGAGUUUUUGUUUUCAUGGGAGUGGUUUUCAACGUCGCAAUCGUUAUCGAUGGAACUCUCUGACGAUGAAUGUGUCAACCGGGAGCAGAGAGAGAGAGAAAGAGCGCCCGCAUUGAUAUAGAACACCGGUAAUAAAAAGCUCAAAUAUUGCUCUUUUGUCCGGUCGUGUUGUUUAUCGACGGCCAAACAACAAUCGUAUAAUUGAUACUACACCUCUUGUAUGUUUACUGGAACUCGCGUGGACUAUCGUCGGUGGUGUCAAAGUUUGACGUAUAGGCCCGGGCCAUAACCAAGUAAGUCCUACUCAAUCGAAGCUGUCAGAUAUUCGGGGGAGUAACAAGUUGUUUGGCUAGAAGUGCUUUUCGGAAACUUGACGCAGCGAGAGGCCCUGAAAAUUCGGAAUCCCCACGCCUGAGAUAAACUUAAUCCCCAUCGGGUGUGGGACUGGGUGGAUUAAAAUUGAUCCGUCCGGUAGCUCACAGCCAAUUGUUGUGUUCCAGUGUUGAAGGGUGUGUGUGUGCUACAUUCGAUUUAAUCCAGGGAGCAAAAAAAAUUAAAAACGGGUCGAUUGAAACGGGCCAAAUGAUUCAUACAAUCUAUAUUUAUAAGUCAAAAGUUGGGUAUCAGUGAUUGAAGGCCGAAAGUAUCAAAAAAUCUAACCCAUCGGCUAAAAAAAGUGAAGUGAAACAAAUUUAAAAAAAAUCAAAACAAAAGUUAAUUAGCAAAAUCGUCCAACCCAAUCAAACAGCAGAGGUAUUGGCUUUUAAAAAUGGAUAUCGAAGGCUCUCUCGAAGAUAUCGAUCAGCUGGAGAAACCUGGCGGUGGCAGACGCAAAUCAAAGUCCCAUUUGUCGAUGUUCAAGCGGCAGUACUGGACCCGUCGAGCUAGUCAGGACGUGAUACUGUCCAAAAGUUCGGACAGCCUUGAUCCACCGUAUCGAAGGU
Long non-coding RNA from Uranotaenia lowii, 1015 nucleotides. RefSeq lists it as uncharacterized. The transcript has 3 exons. Lineage: Eukaryota; Metazoa; Arthropoda; Insecta; Diptera; Culicidae. The record is from RefSeq and is a predicted model, not a curated record.